This is a small nuclear RNA of Suricata suricatta (meerkat), 107 nucleotides long. Lineage: Eukaryota; Metazoa; Chordata; Mammalia; Carnivora; Herpestidae. The record is from Ensembl.
GUACUUGCUUCAGCAGCACAUAUACUAAAACUGGAACGGCAUAGAGAAGAUCAGCACGGCCCCCGCACAAGGGUGACACGCAGAUUCAUUUGUAAGAAACAGUCUCC